CCAGCAGGUCUGAUGAGGAGAGGACCUCAGGAACAGGAGAUGGACCCCAGACUAUAACCAAGAACUCCUAUAUCAACUCACAGAAUGGCCUGGGUUGCCAGAUGUUUUGUGAUGGUGCCUCCUGUUGGCUGAACCCAGAAGGUGCAAGAGCCUUGAAGAUGAAAUUCAUCAUUGGUCUCCUGAGAGUAGAUUUUGAGGAACAAAUGGAAGAUAUCUGGCCCAUGUGUGUUUGCAGAUGAUAUCAUGGAACUAAUGUUCUGAAGAACACACUUUGAAAAAUACUUGUCAAGUCUAAUCCUCCUUUUUGACAACAAAAUUUGAGGUGAGCAGAAGACAAAGAAGUUUCUUUAAGGUU
Oryctolagus cuniculus (rabbit) is the source of this 355-nucleotide non-coding RNA. Lineage: Eukaryota; Metazoa; Chordata; Mammalia; Lagomorpha; Leporidae. The record is from RefSeq and is a predicted model, not a curated record.